CAGCCGCCGCGGUAAUACAGAGGGUGCGAGCGUUAAUCGGAUUUACUGGGCGUAAAGCGUGCGUAGGCGGCUAAUUGAGUCGGAUGUGAAAUCCCCGAGCUUAACUUGGGAAUUGCAUUCGAUACUGGUUAGCUAGAGUGUGGGAGAGGAUGGUAGAAUUCCAGGUGUAGCGGUGAAAUGCGUAGAGAUCUGGAGGAAUACCGAUGGCGAAGGCAGCCAUCUGGCCUAACACUGACGCUGAGGUACGAAAGCAUGGGGAGCAAACAGGAUUAGAUACCCGUGUAGUCCCUGUCUCUUAUAA
Molecule: ribosomal RNA, 301 nt
Filed under: uncultured bacterium
Lineage: Bacteria
Description: partial 16S ribosomal RNA
Rfam family: Bacterial small subunit ribosomal RNA
Source: RNAcentral